AAAGCAGUGAUGAGCAGCUAACAUGUUAGAAGAUCCCAUGUAGGAAGUGGGUUCUUCUAUGAAAUACUCUUACGCUUGGCUUCUGAGCUUU
This is a small nucleolar RNA of Papaver somniferum (opium poppy), 91 nucleotides long. RefSeq annotates it as small nucleolar RNA R24. The record is from RefSeq and is a predicted model, not a curated record. The transcript has a single exon. NCBI's taxonomy places the organism in Eukaryota, Viridiplantae, Streptophyta, Magnoliopsida, Ranunculales, Papaveraceae.